This 407-nucleotide ribosomal RNA is filed under the name uncultured bacterium. RNAcentral's name for it is "partial 16S ribosomal RNA". It matches the Rfam family "Bacterial small subunit ribosomal RNA", at positions 30 to 526 of the family's 1533-position model. The record is from RNAcentral.
AUUGAACGCUGGCGGCAGGCCUAACACAUGCAAGUCGAGCGGAGCGGCGGACGGGUGAGUAAUGCCUAGGAAUCUGCCUGGUAGUGGGGGAUAACGUCCGGAAACGGGCGCUAAUACCGCAUAUUAUGAGAUGAGCCUAGGUAGGAUUAGCUAGUUGGUGGGGUAAAGGCCUACCAAGGCGACGAACCGUACCUGGUCUGAGAGGAUGAUCAGUCACACUGUAACUGAGACACGGUCGAGACUCCUACGGGAGGCAGCGGUGGGGAAGAGUGGACAUGGGGCGAAAGCCUGAUCCAGCCAUGCCGCGUGUGUUAAGAAGGUCUUCGGAGUGUAAAGCACUGGAAGUUGGGAGGCGUUACCAACAGAAUAAGCACCGGCUAACUUCGUGCCAGCAGCCGCGGUAAUAC